CUAUAGUGCACAAUCCAGAAUGGAUGUCCUCUUUGUAGCCAUCCUUGCUGUGCCACUUAUCCUGGGACAAGAGUAUGAGAAUGAAGAAAUACUGGAAGAGGAUGAUUAUUAUCAGGUGAUCUACUACUACACUGUCACCCCCAAUUACGAUGACCUUGGUGCAAAUUUCACCGUUGAUUACUCCGUGUUUGAGUCAGAGGACAGGCUGAACAGGUUGGAUAAGGACGUAACGGAAGCAGUAGAGACUAACAUUAAUCUUGAGACAGAACGUCAAGACCAUCUGAAGCCUGUAACAAGGAAACCAGUGACUAUGGAACCAUCUAGUCGAAUCUUCUCCAAGGGACAAAUGAAGAAACUGAAGCUGGAAAAAGCCAUAUUCUAGGAGACUGAAGACCUACCCCUCUACGUUACCAGUACUCGGAAUCAGAGAAUUUAGGGCUCAGAGUUCGAAGAGCCCCUAUAGAAAAGCCGGGAACAACCAAGUUCGGCUUUGACCUCCAGAAUCGUGGCAGGCACCAGUCGCUGAUGGGUUCCACGUGCUGCACUCGUGAGCGGAGGAGCUCACAGAAAAGGCUGAGGCUACAGAGGCGGAGCCGGGGUCGGGUGGGGGGGGUCCAGGUCCCGAGGCGCACCCCUGGAGUUGUACAUCCAGUCUCUGCGCACUUAAGCCGCGGGUCUCCCGCGCUUCACCAUCCUUUUUAAGGUCACGGGCUCCGCCCUCUUCCUCUUCUCCCUUAUUUUCCACUCUUUUUUCUUCCCCCUCAUUUCAACACCGGGUCCUCUCCCGGAGUCUCAUGUAGGGGCGGAGCACGGAA
Loxodonta africana (African savanna elephant) is the source of this 815-nucleotide RNA transcript. It is a transcript of the gene named chromosome 3 C1orf54 homolog, with no coding region annotated. The record is from RefSeq and is a predicted model, not a curated record. The transcript has 6 exons. Lineage: Eukaryota; Metazoa; Chordata; Mammalia; Proboscidea; Elephantidae.